Non-coding RNA from Fomitopsis betulina (razor strop fungus), 84 nucleotides. NCBI's taxonomy places the organism in Eukaryota, Fungi, Basidiomycota, Agaricomycetes, Polyporales, Fomitopsidaceae. The record is from the annotation of a GenBank genome assembly.
CCUUCGAUAGCUCAGUUGGAAGAGCGUAAGACUGUAAUUGGUUAGGUAAUCUUAAGGUCACUGGUUCGAUCCCGGUUCGAAGGA